UACGUAGGGGCCGAGCGUUGUCCGGAGGUAUUGGGCGUAAAGCGCGCGCAGGCGGCCUCGCGCGCCCGACGUGAAAGCCCCCGGCUUAACCGGGGAGGGUCGUUGGGGACGGCGGGGCUUGAGGGCGGGAGAGGGCGGUGGAAUUCCCGGUGUAGUGGUGAAAUGCGUAGAUAUCGGGAGGAAUACCAGUGGCGAAGGCGGCUGCCUGGCAUGUUCUUGACGCUGAGGCGCGAAAGCUGGGGGAGCAAACGGG
Molecule: ribosomal RNA, 253 nt
Filed under: uncultured bacterium
Lineage: Bacteria
Description: partial 16S ribosomal RNA
Rfam family: Bacterial small subunit ribosomal RNA
Source: RNAcentral